CCUACGGGAGGCUGCAGUGGGGAAUAUUGGGCAAUGGGCGCAAGCCUGACCCAGCAACGCCGCGUGAAGGAAGAAGGCUUUCGGGUUGUAAACUUCUUUUGUCAGGGAAGAGCAGAAGACGGUACCUGUCGAAUAAGCCACGGCUAACUACGUUCCAGCAGACGCGGUAAUACGUAGGUGGCAAGCGUUGUCCGGAUUUACUGGGUGGAAAGGGCGUGUAGCCGGGCUGACAAGUCAGAUGUGAAAUCCGGGGGCUCAACCCCCGAACUGCAUUUGAAAAUGUUGUUCUUGAGUAUCGGAGAGGCAGGCGGAAUUCCGAGUGUAGCGGUGAAAUGCGUAGAUAUUAGGAGGAACACCAGUGGCGAAGGCGGCCUGCUGGACGACAACUGACGGUGAGGCGCGAAAGCGUGGGGAGCAAACAGGAUUAGAUACCCCAGUAGUC
This 442-nucleotide ribosomal RNA is filed under the name uncultured bacterium. Its description in RNAcentral is "partial 16S ribosomal RNA". It matches the Rfam family "Bacterial small subunit ribosomal RNA", at positions 338 to 795 of the family's 1533-position model. The record is from RNAcentral.